UGGGACAAGGAGGAGCUUCUCCUUGAGGUGAAUAGUUAUCCCGAAAGUCUCUGUCAUAUCGAUGCCUCCAUUUGCUGCUUGAUCUAUUGGUAGCUUCCAAUUGAAGCGAUACACAAGGCUUGCUAGCAUGACCUCGAUGGCGGCGAUCGCGAAGUUCAUACCUGGGCAUAUCCUCCGACCAGUUCCGAAUGGCAAGAAAUUGAAAUUAUUUCCAUUGUACCCAGCCAUUGUGUUGCUAAGGAACCUCUCUGGCAUGAACUCCUCGGCAUUUUCCCAAUAGCUAGGGUCCCUGGCAAUAGCCCAUGCAUUGACGAUGACACGAGUGCCUGAGGGUAUAGUAUAGCCCUCAACAUUACAGUCAACCAUGGAGACAUGAGGCACAAGAAGUGGCGCUGCGGGGUGUAGUCGGAGUGUCUCCUUGAUCACCGCCUUUAGGUAGGGCAUCCUACCUAGCUGCUCCUCAGUAACGAUUUCCUGCCCUUUUGGUACCACACCCCUCACCUCAGCCUGUAGCUUGGCCAUCAGCUGGGGCUUCUGUAUUAGCUCGGCCAUGGCAUACUCUAGCUCUAUGUAUGAUGUAUCUGUUCCAGCCUCGAACAUGACAACCAAGUUUGCUUUGAUGUUAUCCUUAGUGAGGCCAUACUCUUGUUGAAUAGAGAGUAGAACAUCGAUGAAGUCACUCUCCUCAUCAUUGUUGUCGAGCAUGGAGGAUCUUCGCUUGCUAGCGUGGUCAUCGAUGAGUUGGUCAAGCAACUGAUCCCAUCUCCUCUUGACGUGAUAGGCCUUGGCACAGAGCAACCUCCUGACAACAGGUAGCCUGGCCAAGCUAGGGAAGUAAUCCUCAAGGUUGAAGCCACCAAGGAGCGACGAGUUGAUCUCGAUCAGCUCCUUGAAUAGCUGGUUCCGACCUUCUUCGCGAAAAAACUUGCCAGACACAGCAUGGCACACCAUGUUGUUGGAGUAGCAGCUGAGCAGCUCAGUCAAGUCUAUUGCCAUAUGUGUCGCCGCCUCCUCGACGAUCUUGGCCAUUACCAGCCGCACCUCCUGUUGCCGUGUCUGGCCAUAGGAGUGGACCUUCUUGAUGGUCAGGAGAUUCAUGGUGACGAUCUUCUUUAUUUGCCGCCAAUAGUCACCAUAUGGUGAGAAUGCCACAUCUGUUGCGCCAUACAAGAGGAUGUCGGCUAUAGUAUUGUAGGGCCGUGACGCAAACACACGGUCAUGAGUGCGUAGGAUGGCCUGUGCUGUACGAGCCGACGAAACCACUAGGGUUGGCACCGCGCCGAGGUGGAGGAGCAUCAGAUCAGGACCAUGCUUAGUUGCAAGGUCGCGGAGUGAUUUGUGCGGGAGAGAGCUGAUGAGGUGCAUGUGGCCAAUCACCGGAAGCCUUCCCGGCGGCGAGGGGACCCUGCUGAGCAUCCCGCCGGACCUUGUUGCGUAGGCAUAGCAACGGAAGAUGAUGAGCAGGAGGAUAAGAGGGCACAUCAUGGCGAGCAGGAGAUCAGAGCACGACAUCGUCGGCAUGGUGCUG
Molecule: small RNA, 1528 nt
Filed under: Oryza sativa Japonica Group (Japanese rice)
Lineage: Eukaryota; Viridiplantae; Streptophyta; Magnoliopsida; Poales; Poaceae
Description: sRNA Os08g0105450
Source: RNAcentral